RNAcentral lists this ribosomal RNA (161 nucleotides) under Strephonema mannii. RNAcentral describes it as "5.8S ribosomal RNA". It matches the Rfam family "5.8S ribosomal RNA". From Rfam's summary of the family: 5.8S ribosomal RNA (5.8S rRNA) is a component of the large subunit of the eukaryotic ribosome. RNAcentral also lists the same sequence under 1 other name. Lineage: Eukaryota; Viridiplantae; Streptophyta; Magnoliopsida; Myrtales; Combretaceae. The record is from RNAcentral.
UUUCUAAACGACUCUCGGCAACGGAUAUCUCGGCUCUCGCAUCGAUGAAGAACGUAGCGAAAUGCGAUACUUGGUGUGAAUUGCAGAAUCCCGUGAACCAUCGAGUCUUUGAACGCAAGUUGCGCCCGAAGCCUUUUGGCCGAGGGCACGUCUGCCUGGGU